GGUGAUAGUGGACUGCAUGACGGACAUCAGAAGGAGACAAGUGAAAACGGUCUUUGAGCAGUGCUGGCUUGUCAAUCAUAGCAAGCAUGCGUUAUCAUGACACUGGGAGUGAAGUUAACCCUCCUGACCUCAUCUCUGUACCUCUCAGCUGUUGCUUUGUGGGAUUGCUAAGGAUGAGGCCGAAGCCAUCAUGUCUCUGGACACAAAUGGAGGUUUUGCAAGAAAAAUUAUUUUGAGAUCCAAAAAAUAAUUGGUGGACCCCUACAGUACCAUUACGGACCCCCUGUUGAAGAACCCUGAUCCAAACAGAAACGUUAUGUUAAUGUUUUCUAGAUGAUAAAAGACAAGAGUUUCAGGAGCAGAGGAUGCCUUGUGGUUCCAUGUUGAGUAAUUCAUAUGAUAACUGAGGUUUGGGACCUCAUGAAAGGCUUAAAACAUGACUGCCUUUUUCAGUCCGGAUUUCUGGUGACAGUCACUACAGAUUAUAGACCUCAAAAGGUGCGAAGACAGUGCUGCCUAUGUGUGGUUCAGAUAACCUCGGAUUUCAUCAAAAAUAUCUUAAUUUGUGUUCCAAAGAUGAACGAAGGUCUUAUGGGUGUGGAACGACAUGAG
Molecule: long non-coding RNA, 612 nt
Organism: Megalobrama amblycephala (Wuchang bream)
Lineage: Eukaryota; Metazoa; Chordata; Actinopteri; Cypriniformes; Xenocyprididae
Exons: 5
Source: RefSeq, a predicted model, not a curated record